This 29-nucleotide non-coding RNA is filed under the name Rattus norvegicus (Norway rat). The record is from RNAcentral. Lineage: Eukaryota; Metazoa; Chordata; Mammalia; Rodentia; Muridae.
UGCCAAGUAUAUGAGUGAGUGAUGGGAGG